RNAcentral lists this ribosomal RNA (208 nucleotides) under uncultured bacterium. RNAcentral describes it as "partial 16S ribosomal RNA". It matches the Rfam family "Bacterial small subunit ribosomal RNA", at positions 568 to 775 of the family's 1533-position model. The record is from RNAcentral.
CUCGUAGGCGGUUCGUCGCGUCCGGUGUGAAAGUCCAUCGCUUAACGGUGGAUCCGCGCCGGGUACGGGCGGGCUUGAGUGCGGUAGGGGAGACUGGAAUUCCCGGUGUAACGGUGGAAUGUGUAGAUACCGGGAAGAACACCAAUGGCGAAGGCAGGUCUCUGGGCCGUCACUGACGCUGAGGAGCGAAAGCGUGGGGAGCGAAACA